UACGAAGGGGGCUAGCGUUGCUCGGAAUCACUGGGCGUAAAGGGUGCGUAGGCGGGUCUUUAAGUCAGGGGGGAAAUCCUGGAGCUCAACUCCAGAACUGCCUUUGAUACUGAAGAUCUUGAGUUCGGGAGAGGUGAGUGGAACUGCGAGUGUAGAGGUGAAAUUCGUAGAUAUUCGCAAGAACACCAGUGGCGAAGGCGGCUCACUGGCCCGGUACUGACGCUGAGGUGCGAAAGCCAGGGGAGCAAACGGG
Molecule: ribosomal RNA, 253 nt
Filed under: uncultured bacterium
Lineage: Bacteria
Description: partial 16S ribosomal RNA
Rfam family: Bacterial small subunit ribosomal RNA
Source: RNAcentral